UACGUAGGGUGCAAGCGUUGUCCGGAAUUAUUGGGCGUAAAGAGCUCGUAGGUGGCCUGUCGCGUCGGCUGUGAAAACUCGGGGCUCAACUCCGAGCUUGCAGUCGAUACGGGCAGGCUAGAGUUCGGCAGGGGAGACUGGAAUUCCUGGUGUAGCGGUGAAAUGCGCAGAUAUCAGGGGGAACACCGGUGGCGAAGGCGGCUCUCUGGACCGGUUCUGACGCUCAGGUGCGAAAGCGUGGGGAGCGAUCCGG
This 253-nucleotide ribosomal RNA is filed under the name uncultured bacterium. RNAcentral's name for it is "partial 16S ribosomal RNA". It matches the Rfam family "Bacterial small subunit ribosomal RNA", at positions 524 to 776 of the family's 1533-position model. The record is from RNAcentral.